CUUUUGUAGAAUGAACCGGCGAGUUACGAUCUGAUGCAAGGUUAAGCAGGAAAUGUGGAGCCGUAGCGAAAGCGAGUCUGAAUAGGGCGUUGAGUAUUUGGUCGUAGACCCGAAACCAGGUGAUCUACCCAUGGUCAGGUUGAAGUUCAGGUAACACUGAAUGGAGGACCGAACCGACUUACGUUGAAAAGUGAGCGGAUGAACUGUGGGUAGCGGAGAAAUUCCAAUCGAACU
RNAcentral lists this ribosomal RNA (234 nucleotides) under Streptococcus sp. HMSC072D05. Its description in RNAcentral is "partial 23S ribosomal RNA". It matches the Rfam family "Bacterial large subunit ribosomal RNA", at positions 605 to 839 of the family's 2925-position model. The record is from RNAcentral. Lineage: Bacteria; Bacillati; Bacillota; Bacilli; Lactobacillales; Streptococcaceae.